Molecule: ribosomal RNA, 496 nt
Filed under: uncultured bacterium
Lineage: Bacteria
Description: partial 16S ribosomal RNA
Rfam family: Bacterial small subunit ribosomal RNA
Source: RNAcentral
AUGAACGCUGGCGGCGUGCCUAAUACAUGCAAGUCGAGCGAACAGACGAGGAGCUUGCUCCUCUGACGUUAGCGGCGGACGGGUGAGUAACACGUGGAUAACCUACCUAUAAGACUGGGCUAACUUCGGGAAACCGGAGCUAAUACCGGAUAAUAUAUUGAACCGCAUGGUUCAAUAGUGAAAGACGGUUUUGCUGUCACUUAUAGAUGGAUCCGCGCCGCAUUAGCUAGUUGGUAAGGUAACGGCUUACCAAGGCAACGAUGCGUAGCCGACCUGAGAGGGUGAUCGGCCACACUGGAACUGAGACACGGUCCAGACUCCUACGGGAGGCAGCAGUAGGGAAUCUUCCGCAAUGGGCGAAAGCCUGACGGAGCAACGCCGCGUGAGUGAUGAAGGUCUUCGGAUCGUAAAACUCUGUUAUUAGGGAAGAACAAAUGUGUAAGUAACUAUGCACGUCUUGACGGUACCUAAUCAGAAAGCCACGGCUAACUACGUG